RNAcentral lists this ribosomal RNA (252 nucleotides) under Ascochyta sp. OTU2 TS-2013. RNAcentral describes it as "partial 28S rRNA". It matches the Rfam family "Eukaryotic large subunit ribosomal RNA", at positions 63 to 312 of the family's 3401-position model. Lineage: Eukaryota; Fungi; Ascomycota; Dothideomycetes; Pleosporales; Didymellaceae. The record is from RNAcentral.
AACCAACAGGGNUUGCCCUAGUAACGGCGAGUGAAGCGGCAACAGCUCAAAUUUGAAAUCUNGCGUCUNUGGCGUCCGAGUUGUAAUUUGCAGAGGGCGCUUUGGCAUUGGCAGCGGUCCAAGUUCCUUGGAACAGGACGUCNCAGAGGGUGAGAAUCCCGUACGUGGUCGCUAGCCUUUACCGUGUAAAGCCCCUUCGACGAGUCGAGUUGUUUGGGAAUGCAGCUCUAAAUGGGAGGUAAAUUUCUUCUA